RNAcentral lists this ribosomal RNA (515 nucleotides) under Hiatusorus nigristripes. RNAcentral describes it as "partial large subunit ribosomal RNA". The record is from RNAcentral. Lineage: Eukaryota; Metazoa; Arthropoda; Insecta; Hemiptera; Cicadellidae.
UUCUUUAUGAAUUUUAUAUAAAGUAAUUUCUGCCCAAUGAAUAAUUUUAUUUAAAUGGCUGCAGUAUAUUGACUGUACAAAGGUAGCAUAGUAAUUAGUUUUUUAAUUGGGAACUUGUAUGAAAGGAUACAUGAGAAAUUUUCUUUAUUAAUUUUAAAAUUAAAAUUUUAUUUUUUGGUAAAAAAGCUAAAUUGUUUUUUAGGGACGAUAAGACCCUAUAGAAUUUAAAAUUUAUUUUAAUUAAAAUGUUUUUUAGAUUAAAUUUAUUUUUUUUAAUUUAAAUUUUUAAUUGGGGUGAUUAAUAAACUUAUAUCUUUUUUAUAUAAAUUCAUAUAUAUAUGUUUUUUUUGAUCCUUAAAUUUAAGAUUGUAAGAUAAAUUACCUUAGGGAUAACAGCGUAAUUUUAAUGUAAAGUUCAUAUUUAAAUUAAAGUUUGCGACCUCGAUGUUGAAUUAAGAGUAAUUUAUGGUGUAGAUGCUAUGAUUUUAAGUCUGUUCGACUUUUAUAAUCUUACA